AGUGAACGCUGGCGGUAGGCCUAACACAUGCAAGUCGAACGGCAGCACAGUAAGAGCUUGCUCUUACGGGUGGCGAGUGGCGGACGGGUGAGGAAUACAUCGGAAUCUACUUUUUCGUGGGGGAUAACGUAGGGAAACUUACGCUAAUACCGCAUACGACCUACGGGUGAAAGCAGGGGAUCUUCGGACCUUGCGCGAUUGAAUGAGCCGAUGUCGGAUUAGCUAGUUGGCGGGGUAAAGGCCCACCAAGGCGACGAUCCGUAGCUGGUCUGAGAGGAUGAUCAGCAAAACUGGAAAUGAGAAACGGACCAGAAUCCAACGGGAGGAAGCAGGGGGGAAUAUUGGAAAAUGGGCGAAAGCCUGAACCAGCCAUACCGCGGGGGUGAAGAAGGCCUUCGGGUUGUAAAGCCCUUUUGUUGGGAAAGAAAAGCAGCAGGUUAAUACCCCGCUGUUCUGACGGUACCCAAAGAAUAAGCACCGGCUAACUUCGU
This 491-nucleotide ribosomal RNA is filed under the name uncultured bacterium. RNAcentral describes it as "partial 16S ribosomal RNA". It matches the Rfam family "Bacterial small subunit ribosomal RNA", at positions 29 to 506 of the family's 1533-position model. The record is from RNAcentral.